Molecule: long non-coding RNA, 610 nt
Organism: Raphanus sativus (radish)
Lineage: Eukaryota; Viridiplantae; Streptophyta; Magnoliopsida; Brassicales; Brassicaceae
Exons: 2
Source: RefSeq, a predicted model, not a curated record
GAAAAGUAACUUGUGGCCCUUUAAAAAUCACACACUCUCAUAUGUAAUUAUUUUGAUGACUUUGCAAAAUGUGAAAGUCUUUUUCCCAGAUUUGUUCUUGAAUUGAUUUCUUUCCACAAGAAAGACAACCAAUUGUGAUAAACAAGAGACAACUGUGAAGGCGUACAUGAUUGAGACUAUCACAUCAUGGUUAUAUCCAUGAUGCUUUACAUAUCCAGUGUUGAUAACGACGGCGGGUCUAUAAAAGUGUCGCCAUGCCGGAAAAGAGAGAGGAGAUUAAAACGAUCUUCAUAUAGUUGUGAAGAAUAAUGAUGGUGAUUCAAGUGAAUGUGUAUUUGCAUGUCAAAAAAGAAAAGAAUUGAAGAAGAUGAACUCGCCGUCUAUACUAUAUUCAGUGAAAUGAAUAGUAUAUUAUAUAUUCUUUAGUGUAGUUUUAUGUAAAUGUACCAUAGUAUUUGAAACAUAUUUCUAUAUUAUUCCUUUAAAAUGUAAUAAUUUGUCAUGUCUUCAAAUUUGAUAGUUCUCUUCUCUGUCAUUUUGAGUGAUUGAUUGUAUGAAAUUCAUACUACAUUGAUUUAUGUGUAGUGAUUAAAACAAAAUUUGGCCGUUA